UGGUCAGUGAGAUACGGGGGUUGGUUGGUCAGUGAGAUACAGUGGGUGGUUGGUCAGUGAGAUACAGGGGUUGGUUGGUCAGUCAGUGGGUGGUUGGUCAGUGAGAUACGGGGGUGGUUGGUCAGUGGGUGGUUGGUCAGUCAGUUACGGGGGUGGUUGGUCAGUGAGAUACGGGGGGUGGUUGGUCAGUCAGUGAGAUAUGGGGGUUGGUCGGGACCUCCACGGCACAAAGUGAGGAGAAAGACGUGUUCAAAACUCAAUCCUGUCAUUUAAUAAUACCAUGAUUAGAAACAUUAUUAUAUUACGUU
Ictalurus punctatus (channel catfish) is the source of this 308-nucleotide long non-coding RNA. The record is from Ensembl. Lineage: Eukaryota; Metazoa; Chordata; Actinopteri; Siluriformes; Ictaluridae.